Molecule: ribosomal RNA, 253 nt
Filed under: uncultured bacterium
Lineage: Bacteria
Description: partial 16S ribosomal RNA
Rfam family: Bacterial small subunit ribosomal RNA
Source: RNAcentral
UACGAACGGUCCAAGCGUUAUUCGGAAUCACUGGGCUUAAAGCGCCCGUAGGCGGUUCGGCACGUAGGGUGUGAAAUCCCACGGCUCAACCGUGGAAUUGCGCUCUAAACUAUCGAGCUAGAGGGAGAUAGAGGUGAGCGGAACUGAUGGUGGAGCGGUGAAAUGCGUUGAUAUCAUCAGGAACACCGGAGGCGAAGGCGGCUCACUGGGUCUUUUCUGACGCUGAGGGACGAAAGCUAGGGGAGCGAACGGG